This 172-nucleotide ribosomal RNA is filed under the name Wikstroemia indica. Its description in RNAcentral is "5.8S ribosomal RNA". It matches the Rfam family "5.8S ribosomal RNA". Rfam says of the family: 5.8S ribosomal RNA (5.8S rRNA) is a component of the large subunit of the eukaryotic ribosome. It is transcribed by RNA polymerase I as part of the 45S precursor that also contains 18S and 28S rRNA. Lineage: Eukaryota; Viridiplantae; Streptophyta; Magnoliopsida; Malvales; Thymelaeaceae. The record is from RNAcentral.
UAAUAUAAAGAACGACUCUCGGCAACGGAUAUCUCGGCUCUCGCAUCGAUGAAGAACGUAGCGAAAUGCGAUACUUGGUGUGAAUUGCAGAAUCCCGUGAACCAUCGAGUCUUUGAACGCAAGUUGCGCCCCAAACCUUCGGGUCGAGGGCACGUCUGCCUGGGUGUCACGC